GAUGAACGCUGGCGGCGUGCUUAACACAUGCAAGUCGAACGAGAAAUGUAGACGGACACCUUCGGGCGGAAGCCUUCAUUUCGAGUGGCGGACGGGUGAGUAACGCGUGGGUAACCUGCCUCAUACAGGGGGAUAACAGUUGGAAACGACUGUUAAUACCGCAUAAGACCACAGCAUCGCAUGAUGCGGGGGUAAAAACUCCGGUGGGAUGAGAUGGACCCGCGUUCGAUUAGCCAGUUGGCGGGGUAACGGCCCACCAAAGCGACGAUCGAUAGCCGAUCUGAGAGGAUGACCGGCCACAUUGGGACUGAGACACGGCCCAAACUCCUACGGGAGGCAGCAGUGGGGAAUAUUGCACAAUGGGGGAAACCCUGAUGCAGCGACGCCGCGUGAGUGAAGAAGUACUUCGGUAUGUAAAGCUCUAUCAGCAGGGAAGAAAAUGACGGUACCUGAGGAAGAAGCCCCGGCUAACUACGUG
RNAcentral lists this ribosomal RNA (478 nucleotides) under uncultured bacterium. Its description in RNAcentral is "partial 16S ribosomal RNA". It matches the Rfam family "Bacterial small subunit ribosomal RNA", at positions 28 to 507 of the family's 1533-position model. The record is from RNAcentral.